RNAcentral lists this small RNA (624 nucleotides) under Pan troglodytes (chimpanzee). Its description in RNAcentral is "processed transcript". The record is from RNAcentral. Lineage: Eukaryota; Metazoa; Chordata; Mammalia; Primates; Hominidae.
GGCCUCCCAAAGUGCUGGGAUUACAGGCGUGAGCCACCGCACCCGGCCACACUGUGUUCUUAUUUUCUGCCAUGGUCUUCAAUUCUUUUCUGAAUGAAACAUACAAAGUUCUACAAGUUUAUUCUCAGUGUUCAGUAUUUGAGAUGGGCUUUCCUUCUAAAACAGACAGCCCUAGCUGUGAAUAUUCUCGGUUUGAUUUUGAUAGCGAUGAGGACUUCAAUGCUUUCUUCAACUCCUCUCGAGCGCAACAAGGAGAGGUGAUGAGGUUGGCAUGUCGUUUGGAUCCCAAAACUAGCUUCCAGAUGGCUGGGGAGUGGCUAAAGUAUCAACUAUCAACUUUUCUUGAUGCUGGUUCUGUGAAUUCUUGUUCUGCAGUUGGAACUGGAGAAGGAAGCCUCUGUUCCGUCUUCUCACCUUCAUUCGUGCAGUGGGAAGCCAUGACUCUUUUUUUGGAAAGUGUUAUCACCCAGAUGUUUCGAACACUAGAUAGAGAAGAAAUUCCUGUUAAUGAUGGAAUAGAGCUAUUGCAGAUGGUUCUGAACUUUGAUACCAAGGAUCCCCUCAUCCUGUCCUGCGUCCUUACUAAUGUCUCUGCACUCUUUCCAUUUGUCACCUACAGACCAG